RNAcentral lists this ribosomal RNA (301 nucleotides) under uncultured bacterium. RNAcentral's name for it is "partial 16S ribosomal RNA". It matches the Rfam family "Bacterial small subunit ribosomal RNA", at positions 509 to 807 of the family's 1533-position model. The record is from RNAcentral.
CAGCCGCCGCGGGAAUACGUAGGUGGCAAGCGUUGUCCGGAAUCACUGGGCGUAAAGCGCACGUAGGCUGCUUUGUAAGUCAGAGGUGAAAGCCCGGGGCUCAACCCCGGAUGUGCCUUUGAGACUGCAGAGCUAGAACGUCGGAGAGGUGAGUGGAAUUCCGAGUGUAGAGGUGAAAUUCGUAGAUAUUCGGAAGAACACCAGUGGCGAAGGCGGCUCACUGGACGACUGUUGACGCUGAGGUGCGAAAGCGUGGGGAGCAAACAGGAUUAGAUACCCCUGUAGUCCCUGUCUCUUAUAC